GAGGAUUUUUCUCAAUGGGGGCAACCCUGAAGGAGCGACGCCGCGUGGAGGAUGAAGGGCUUCGGCUCGUAAACUCCUGUCACCGACGAACAAGGCAUUCGGAUUAAUAAAUCGGAUGCUUGAUGGUAGUCGGAGAGGAAGGGGCGGCUAACUCUGUGCCAGCAGCCGCGGUGAUACAGAGGCCCCAAGCGUUGUUCGGAUUUACUGGGCGUAAAGGGUGUGUAGGGGGUUGGGUAAGUUUGACGUGAAAUCCCGUUGCUCAACAACGGAACUGCGUCGAAUACUGCUCAGCUGGAGGUUCGGAGAUGAGGGCGGAAUUCUCGGUGUAGCGGUGAAAUGCGUAGAUAUCGAGAGGAACGCCGAUGGCGAAAGCAGCCCUCAAGACGAAAUCUGACCCUGAAACACGAAGGCCAGGGGAGCAAA
RNAcentral lists this ribosomal RNA (423 nucleotides) under Verrucomicrobia bacterium SCGC AAA278-G19. Its description in RNAcentral is "bacterial SSU rRNA". It matches the Rfam family "Bacterial small subunit ribosomal RNA", at positions 357 to 772 of the family's 1533-position model. Lineage: Bacteria; Pseudomonadati; Verrucomicrobiota. The record is from RNAcentral.